Molecule: long non-coding RNA, 1523 nt
Organism: Caretta caretta (loggerhead turtle)
Lineage: Eukaryota; Metazoa; Chordata; Testudines; Cheloniidae
Source: RefSeq, a predicted model, not a curated record
CUGGCAUGUAAAGGGCUUAUGGAAAGAUCUGCACCAGGAACUGAAACUCCACGAAAACUCUGGUAAAAUGGUUAUUCGUCUGCGGAGGAUCACGCCUGGGUAUAUAAGAUUAUUGCAGACUCAAGCUGCUGGAAAAAUUGUUAUCAACACAACAGACAUAUUGAUGCAACGUACAGCUUUGCUCCUAGGAAUGUUUGGGAUCAGUAUAUCUGGUUAUAGCACACGCCGGCUAACUCAAGAGAAGAGACUCCCCUUGAACCUUUAAACUGAUGGAAUAUGAUCCGAGAAAUGAAAGUUUAUGUCAACAGAACUGAUGAAUUAUUUGUCUCUCCAUUAUCAGCUUGGAGGUCAUAAGACACUUUUUAAAAGCAAGCUGGAAAAGAUGGAAGAAGAGUUGUAGAUCUCGCCGGCAAAAAAAUAAAAUAAAAUAAAAAAAGACUAAUGAUUUGGGGAAGCAUUAGAUUUGCAAGCAAGAUGGAGUGUUUGUACAUGUGAUGGAUUUCUGUCAGUAUACAGUAUGAACACUGAGAGAAAUGUAAAUGUAUGAAGUACAAUUAAAAUCAGAACAAGUGCAAACAGAUUGAUGGGGGGGUGCUAUGCACAAUUAGGGUCACCUUUUUUAUUGCUUCUGCAAAUCAUCUACAAUACAAAGCCUUGUUUUGAAAAAGAGGGUUGGAAGCAAUAUAUUUUUAAUGACAAGCAAAUAGCAAAACACAUCCCAUAGACUGCUGGCACUGUUUAUAUAUAUAUAUAUAUAUAUAUAUAGCUAUGUGUAUUACAGAAUUUGCAGGAACUUCCAUCUAAUAUUGCAUGUUACAUCUACAAUCCUUUGGCUACCUUUGUCUGGAAAUGUUUAUACAAAAAUAUAUUCAGAUAUUCCAGUGUAAUAACAAAAAAAUGCUGCAGAUUAUAUACCGUGCAUAUGGUAUGAAAAAGGAAGGAUAAUGCCAAAGCAAAUAUAUGAAUGUCUUUAUUGGUGUUUUAUGUCUUGAUAUGAUUAUUUUAAGUCUGGUUUGCUUCUGUGCAUGUGGCUGUGUAGCUUUUUAAAUUUUCUAUUCUAGAAGGGAACAGUACAAAUAAAGAAUUGUCUCUUGUGCAGAGUUCAACCUGUCUGAUCACAUUCCUCUGCUUAGCCUCUUGAUCCCACAACACAUAUUCUGAUUAAAAUAGAACUGGAGUUUGUGCUUUUCCCCUCCCCCUCUUACGUUUCUGUGCAAUUUUAUUUAAUGAGCAUUUUACUCAGGCAAGCUCUAUAACUAUUAUUCAUUUUGUUUUAACUGUUUCAGAGAUUUUGUGCAAACAGCUUUGUAGGCACUUUUAUGUGUCGGAGAAAAACACAGUUCUCACUCUCUGGUUGGGUGCAGCAAGUCAGAUAUGUCUUCUUGGUCUGAUUCUGCUGUCAAUUACAUUAGUGUAAAUCAGGAAUGACUCCACUGAACAUUUUGGAAUUACCCUGGUGAAAACCUGAGGCAAGUAAGAUUUGGAUCAAGCCUUCUCUGGUCUCUCAAGCUGUGUCCUUUACU